RNAcentral lists this ribosomal RNA (372 nucleotides) under uncultured organism. RNAcentral's name for it is "bacterial SSU rRNA". It matches the Rfam family "Bacterial small subunit ribosomal RNA", at positions 526 to 896 of the family's 1533-position model. The record is from RNAcentral.
CGUAGGGGGCAAGCGUUGUCCGGAUUUAUUGGGCGUAAAGCGCUCGCAGGUGGUCCGUCGCGUCGUGCGUGAAAGCCCCCGGCUCAACUGGGGAGUGUCGUGCGAUACGGGCGGACUGGAGGCCAGUAGGGGGAUGCGGAAUUCCGGGUGUAGUGGUGGAAUGCGUAGAGAUCCGGAGGAACACCAGCGGCGAAGGCGGCAUCCUGGACUGGUCCUGACACUCAUGAGCGAAAGCGUGGGGAGCGAUCCGGAUUAGAUACCCGGGUAGUCCACGCUGUAAACGAUGCGCACUAGGUGUCGGGGGUAUCGACCCCCUCGGUGCCGCAGCUAACGCGAUAAGUGCGCCGCCUGGGGACUACGGCCGCAAGGCUA